RNAcentral lists this small RNA (1626 nucleotides) under Theobroma cacao (cacao). Its description in RNAcentral is "sRNA Tc06v2_g009520". The record is from RNAcentral. Lineage: Eukaryota; Viridiplantae; Streptophyta; Magnoliopsida; Malvales; Malvaceae.
ACAUCUAGCGGUUUUCAAGCAAACCCCAAAACCCUUUUACUCAGAAAGGCCGUAUAUUGUCUCUUUAAAAAAACCGUUUAUGUUUUUUUCCCAUGAAAUGAAGGCCUUAAAUCCUGCAGCGCUCGACCUCACGUCACCUAUGUACCUAGAUUAUUAGCUCGAGAUGUCAUACUCGAAGCAGCUAAUGCCGCUUAUCAAGCGUUUCGUCGGAUACGAAAUCUAAUAGUGGGCGGUGAUUAUCUUGUUGUUCGACGAGGAGCCCUGUUAGCAGCCAGAGAAGAAAGAGUUGUAGGUAGAGGCCGUGGUUGCGGGCACAAAUAAUUUGCAACCCCCAUUGAGACACACUUGUAGAGGUCAAAACCUGGCCUCUUUCUUCAGAACAAAUACAGGUCAGCCCGCUUUCUUGAGUUUAAAGAAAAUGGGGACUUUGAAAUUACUAACUUCAACCAUAGUUAUAUAUCCAGGAUUACUUGAAAGUAGUUGUGAAGGUAUGUCAGUAUUUCGUGAAGCACGGGUUAAGGUUCUCUAUGUUGCAAACCCUAUUGUCAUGGAUGAUGUUGAAGUUCCUGUUCUAGGCUUUGGAGGUUACGGCCGUAAUUGUACAGCACGUCUUCCUAACAAAGGAGGAUUUAAAUUAGUUUGUGGGCAUCCGGAGGAGUACGGAUGGACUACUUGGUAUAUACUGACAUCAGGCAUUGAUGAAUUUGUUUCUAAGUUUUCUUCUUUUUUGACUGAAAAAUAUUGGGUGCCCUGGUUUGUGAAGAUAGGGAAUUAUCUUUCUUGCGUACAAAGGUCGUUUACUGGGUGUAACGUGUAUGUUUCCAAGGAUGUCAAUAUAGUAGGCUGGGAAAUUUAUCAUAAAAUUGUUGCUGACUCAAUCAAGCAUUACAACAUGAAGACACAACGGAUAAGAUCCUUAGAUGGGCUCGUUGACGCUCGCAAAGAUUUCGUGCGUCUUCAUAUCUACAGCCUGGUCUCCUGGAGCAGUUUCUAAUUUACGAAGAAUCAUUGUGUUGCGAGUCUCUUGUUUGCACUCGGAUUGUAUGCUUCACGUUAUUUAGAUGUUUUGUAAUAUUUUGCUUCGCUAUUGGCUUUGAUUUGAAGUAAUCAGGUGACUAUUACACUAAGGAUGUUGAUUUGAAUUUUAGUGUGUAACUGGUAAACCAAAAGACCCUGUAAAUAAAAUUUACUUUACAUGUGAAUUAGAAAGAAAAUCAAAUGCUGGUUGCCAUCGGAGGAAGUCUUGUUCCUUUCAGUUUCUGUCUUUAAAGCUUAUAAAUGCAGUUCUCCUUUGUUCCUCGUUGCAUCCUCUCCUUUUCAAUUCACUCCCUCCUCCCUCCUUGUUUUUGUUCCAUCUCGGCUGGUUUCGGGUGGAGGGCACUGCACUCCGUGGACAAACUCAGUGGAAUCUGCUAAUUAAGGAAUGGAGGAAUCAGAUGGUAAGAAGUACAAGAAGCUCAGAAGUUCUAUUUCAGUAAUAUGAUAGCAAAACAGAAGGACAAGGAAUAUGGGGAGGGAUAGCAAUUAGGAAUAACACCAGUUUGAAUGUGCAUCAUAGAUUGCUGUGUUCUAAGAUUUAUUGAGCAGUCCCUGAGCAAACUAAUGAGCAUAAAUAGGUCUUGAAGA